This 253-nucleotide ribosomal RNA is filed under the name uncultured bacterium. Its description in RNAcentral is "partial 16S ribosomal RNA". It matches the Rfam family "Bacterial small subunit ribosomal RNA", at positions 524 to 776 of the family's 1533-position model. The record is from RNAcentral.
UACGUAGGGGGCAAGCGUUGUCCGGAAUCAUUGGGCGUAAAGCGCGCGUAGGCGGCCCGGUAAGUCCGCUGUGAAAGCCCAGGGCUCAACCCUGGAAAGCCGGUGGAUACUGUCGGGCUAGAGUGCGGAAGAGGCGAGUGGAAUUCCUGGUGUAGCGGUGAAAUGCGCAGAUAUCAGGAGGAACACCGAUUGCGAAGGCAGCUCGCUGGGACGUCACUGACGCUGAGACGCGAAAGCGUGGGGAGCAAACAGG